This 536-nucleotide ribosomal RNA is filed under the name Enterococcus faecium. Its description in RNAcentral is "bacterial SSU rRNA". It matches the Rfam family "Bacterial small subunit ribosomal RNA", at positions 997 to 1533 of the family's 1533-position model. The record is from RNAcentral. Lineage: Bacteria; Bacillati; Bacillota; Bacilli; Lactobacillales; Enterococcaceae.
ACUCUAGAGAUAGAGCUUCCCCUUCGGGGGCAAAGUGACAGGUGGUGCAUGGUUGUCGUCAGCUCGUGUCGUGAGAUGUUGGGUUAAGUCCCGCAACGAGCGCAACCCUUAUUGUUAGUUGCCAUCAUUCAGUUGGGCACUCUAGCAAGACUGCCGGUGACAAACCGGAGGAAGGUGGGGAUGACGUCAAAUCAUCAUGCCCCUUAUGACCUGGGCUACACACGUGCUACAAUGGGAAGUACAACGAGUUGCGAAGUCGCGAGGCUAAGCUAAUCUCUUAAAGCUUCUCUCAGUUCGGAUUGCAGGCUGCAACUCGCCUGCAUGAAGCCGGAAUCGCUAGUAAUCGCGGAUCAGCACGCCGCGGUGAAUACGUUCCCGGGCCUUGUACACACCGCCCGUCACACCACGAGAGUUUGUAACACCCGAAGUCGGUGAGGUAACCUUUUUGGAGCCAGCCGCCUAAGGUGGGAUAGAUGAUUGGGGUGAAGUCGUAACAAGGUAGCCGUAUCGGAAGGUGCGGCUGGAUCACCUCCUUU